UUGUACGUGCAAAUAAUUAAGGAUAGUUUCAUCAUUUAUAAGAUGUUUAUUAUUACUUUGCAUGAUCAAUAUAUAAAUGAUCUCUGUUGCUACCAAAUUUGUGGACCAAUCUUUUCUUUUUGGGUAUCCAAAUGUGGUUUUAAGGAUGAACAUUCUGAUAAUGGAGUAUAUAUUAUUUGUGGACUAAUUAACGCCAUUUGUCAUGCAGAUCAUGCGCCUGCUCAAGAAGAUCCCAACCUCAGUUGUCACUUAACCUGGGGCAAGGGGCGGCAAUUUUUAAUACCAUGGCCAUCAUUUUCUGAUGUUUGCGUGAUAUUAAUCUGUGAUUGUCAACUUUUGUGUGAUCCAGAAUUUCUCAAAAUUGGACUGAACUCUAUAUUAUAAGGCCGUCCAUGGUCCUAUUGGAAUAUGUUGCUUUCAACUGGAGCCCAUCGCUGAAGCAAUAUAGCUUCCAGGUGUUGCCAUUUACAAUUGCCAAUUUAGCGUCUGGUUAUCAGCAGUAAGCAAGGAAUCAACUCCUCUUCCAAAGAAGACGGCAUGGAAAAUGCUAUCCCCCUCCCCAACUAAAGCAUAUCUUUUGUACAUUGUACUGAUUGAGAAUAUAUUCUGGUCAUUGACUCAAGUCAACUCGCCAGAAAGACAUUUAUAUGCAUGUAGUAAUAGCGCCUGCAUGCUCAAGACUAUAUUUCAACUCAUACAUCUUAAAAUGCUCCAAAAUAAAAUUUUAUUUGGUGUUUUUGUGUGUGGGGGUGUUGGUUGUGCAAGGGUUGUGCACGGCCAACAGGGGACAGGCGGUUUGACCGGCCAUAUAGGCCAGUCUGACCGGUCGCAUAGGGCUGGUCUGACCAGCUAGACAUGGUGGGUCCAUGAAAUUCUCCUUUCUGGUUCUACCCAAACCUAUCUCCUCCCCAUUCAGUUCCUCUCAUCCCCAACCUGAAAACUCUUCAUCUCUCUCCUCUAUCAAACCCUAGCUUCAUCCAUCCACCAAAUCCUCUCGGUUUGAUCGUGGAUUUCGCUCCGGUUACACCGGAAGUGAGUCUUCUCCACUUCCUCUCUCUAUUCUAUGGAUUAUUUACUCUUUUGGUUGAUUUAUUGAUCCAUGGCAUGGAAGUGGUGUUCUUUGUUUUGCACCAAUAGGGGUAGUUUCUUGGUGUGAUUCAUCUCUUCAAUCCGGUAAAUCAACUUCUCUCUUGUGCUUCAUCUCAAUUCAAUCUAUUUCACUAUUAGGGUUAAGGGUAGUUUUCUCCUUCUAGUUCAAUCUUGAUGAAAUACACACUUUUCUUAAUGAACAUGUGAAUAUUGUUCUAGCAUGUUAAUCAUUUGAGUAGAGGUGGAGAAAUUUUGUGCUUGUGCUCCUCUGUUAGUGGUGGUUUGACCAGUGCCAUUGGCGGUCUAACGGCGGUUGUGCCGUCGGUCUGACCGAUCGCAGGUUGGCGGUCUGACCGGCCUAUUGCCAGUGUCUGACCGCCCCUGACAGGAAGUUAGCAAUUUUUUCUUCACACCUAAACAAGUGUUUAAAUAUUCGCUAAUAUCCUUUUCCUUGCUCCUUGUAUCCAGUGAUGGCACCUCGGACUCGUCGUGGUCAUCGUGUCUGAGAGUGAGCAAGAGGAGUCCAGUGCAGAACAAUAUGCUCAAAGUGAGGAAGAAGAAGAGGGUGUUGAGGUGGACCAAGAUGAGGGUGAUGAGAAUGAUAAUGGGAGUGAUGAUGGCAACAAUGAUGAUGAGGAUGAGGAGGAAAGUGAUGAUGAGAUGGAAGUUGAUCUGUUGAUCCAGUUCUUUCUAUACCUAAGAAACCCCACCUAGUACACCAUCAUUAGGCACCAUGAUCAAUUCCGAAGAACCAAUGACUCCGAUGAUCCUUGAUUUCACACCUUGUUCCAGAAAGCUAUAUUUGAGACCAUCUACAAGCCGGGCAAGGCGUUUGCUGAACAUAAGUGGAUUUCAUGGAGGAAUAUCAAUAAAACCCCAGAGUUUGAAGUAUUGCAAAAUCUGUUUGAGUAGGUUGGAAUUUAUCGCAUUGUGACCUUGAGGCAAGAUUAUGAUGAAGAGUUUAUUAGACAAUUUUAUGCCACUGUGUGGGUGCCCGGUGAUUUUGAUACUUUGAAAUGGAUGUUGGGAACCGUUCAGUGUUCUAUCGACAGAAGGGAGUUCAAGAGCCUUUUGAACAUCCUGUUUGGCAAUGGUGACAAUCUUCAUGAAGUGCAUGCCCACAAUCUGUUUUUAUUAAUGAAUUAGCUCAGUUCUAUGAGAGUAUGAGGAUGGUGGGAGGCAUACUUAUGGAAAAGUUGUCGGUUUGAGGACCCUCCCAAGUGUGGUGAAUUGGAUUGUGAGGGCCACUAUUCUUCCCCAUUGUGGAAAUAACGAUGACAUUUGGGGAGUGGCUUGGCAUGUGGUUGAUGCCAUUAUGCAAGGACAUAUAUUUCACGUGAUCAAUCUUAUGAUGCAAGAGAUUGCAAUCUCCAAAGGAACCUUUGGACAAGACAUCUACUAUACCUCAUAGUAUGAGAUUUGAUUCAUGCAAAAGUUGUCAGCCUCUUAUAGUAUGAGAUUUGAUUCAUGCAAAA
This is a non-coding RNA of Oryza sativa Japonica Group (Japanese rice), 2564 nucleotides long. The record is from RefSeq and is a predicted model, not a curated record. Lineage: Eukaryota; Viridiplantae; Streptophyta; Magnoliopsida; Poales; Poaceae.